ACACCUGCCUGCCCCCUGCUGUCAGGAUAGGAAUACAACACGUUUUCAAAAUGGUUCGCUCGAACAGACCAAGACGUGCCACAAGCUCCUUCUGUGGCACCUUCAAGGCCACUAAAAGACGAUUUGUGUGCGUGUUGGCGUUGGACACGUGUCGUUCCGGCAACGGCGAGGUGGACGGCGUGACGGAAGAGUUUUCGGGUCUGGAGGUUCUGCGCAUGGUCAACGUGGGACUCACGUCGCUCUCCAAACUGCCGUCGCUGCCUAAACUACACAAGCUGGAGCUGAGCGACAACGCCAUAUGCGGAGGUUUGGAGGCGCUGGCCCAAAAAUGUCCCAACCUGACGCACCUCGACAUCAGCGGCAACGGGAUCAGCGACAUAGCCGCCCUGGAAGCGCUGAAGCCCCUGAAGAAGCUGAAGACUUUGGACGCGUCGGGCUGCGAGGUUAGCGCACGGGACGACUACCGCGACGGCGUCUUCCGCCUCCUGCCGCACGUCAUGUACCUGGAUGGCUACGAUCGCCAUGACAACAAGGCGCCACACUCGGACAACGACCAGGACGACGGCGCCGGUCCGCACGGCGACGCCGCCGAUGAAGACGACGAAGAUGAAGAUGAUGCUGAGGAUGUCUCUGAGGAGGAGGAGGUGGGGCUGUCGUACCUGAUGAAGGAGGGCAUCCAGUUUGUGUUAUCGUCAAGCCUCUGGAUAACUGCAAUAAGGAACGGCACCCUGUAGAGGGCAACGAUGCCCCUCCCUCGGCGGGGCGCAAGAGACAAUGAGAAGACAUAAUGGCGUAAAAGAGAGAAGACAAAAUGAAAGGGUACUAGAAAUGGAUUGUGCCAAGGCAAGACAAAUAUCUCUGCGACCGAAAGGAAUGACGCCUUAGAUCAUGCGGUGAAGCGAAGGAUGACGCUCCGAGCCGAUCGCUUUGUUGCAAACCUACCGCCCAAAAUGCCGGCCCGUGCGUAUGGCGAGACGCUCUCGGCCGCCCGCCGGGAUUUGAAUAAAUGGCAUCCGGAAUCGUCAGAUGAGCGAACUCCCUCCGGAUAGCCCGGAGGCAGCCGAGCUUCAUCCCGAGCUUCCUCCGACGAAGACCGACAAAGUCCCACGAAGACGAAGCUCGUCCAUCUUGCAGGAAUUCAAGACCCGCGAGUCGAGCGGCUUUUAGGAUUGCGACGAAGAAAGGUUAUGCAUCCGGCAGACGCUCGACUCCCAUUCCAGUACGCAGUGCAGACAAAAAACGGAACUGAAAGCUUUCUUUUCUCCACGUCCCACCGCGGCAAUUUCAACAAUGUAUUUUUAUAGUUACAUUUCUAAACUGUACAGGUUGUGCUUCGAGCAGAAAUAGGGAUUGGUUUCAAGGAGAAGGACAACCACAAAAGAUCCCAUUCACCGCCACCAAAUAAAAAAAAUCCAGAUGUGGAUAAAUAGGAAAUAGUCCUAAAAACCUGGACUAUUGAGCAAACGGUAGAGGAGGAGAAGUGCGGGAAGUCCAUUUGUUCUUGCAUUUUUCUCUCAUGUAAAUUCUGUACACAUUUGUCAAUAAAUACUUUUUCUGUCCAAA
This is an RNA transcript of Phyllopteryx taeniolatus (common seadragon), 1563 nucleotides long. It is a transcript of the gene named acidic leucine-rich nuclear phosphoprotein 32 family member E-like, with no coding region annotated. The record is from RefSeq and is a predicted model, not a curated record. The transcript has 8 exons. Lineage: Eukaryota; Metazoa; Chordata; Actinopteri; Syngnathiformes; Syngnathidae.